Molecule: long non-coding RNA, 1037 nt
Organism: Lutra lutra (Eurasian river otter)
Lineage: Eukaryota; Metazoa; Chordata; Mammalia; Carnivora; Mustelidae
Exons: 3
Source: RefSeq, a predicted model, not a curated record
CAUGUUUCCAAUGAGCAUAAGAAAUAAAUGGCUCAGGAGAUGGUGUUAGCAUUGGAAAGAACAAAGAAUGAAUCUGAAAAUAAAAGAAAAAAAAAUCCUCGGGAGAAAGAGAAAAUCAGCAAUAUACCCUUUUACAUCAACUCAAAAAUACUUUGGAGGACAUGUUAAGCCAAGAAGGAAAAUAAAAAUGGAAAGAGAACAUGAAAUGGGGGAGGGAGCCUCGCUGAGAAACUGGGGUGUCAAAUGAGCCUGUCAUACAAAUGUGACCCUAUAUAUAAGCAGCUUGUGUUGGCAGUGAUGUAUAAGCUCUGCAAUGUGUUUUGAGGUAGAGUCAAAUGAUUACCUUUGGAAUUUUUUAACAAGUUCAGUGACCACCAAGUAUCAAUGUUUACCAGGCUUACGGUAAAUGGCAUGAAGGCUUAUGAAUGAGAAUCUGUAUAAAUAGACCGACAUAAAAAGCACAUGUUAGAAUUAACAUAAAUUUUAAAGCAACUGUGCUUACCAUGCAUAAAGCACUAAUGACAAGCUGGGAUUUAUUGUGAGGAAACAGGAUAUUAUAAAAAGCUGGGAAACUGGGAAAGUUGAUUUGAAAAAAACAAAGCAAAUCUAGAUUUUGAGCAUUCAAUAACCAAAAUUAAAAACCGUAAAAAUCAUAUUUGGAAGUGGAUUGGGAUAGCAGAUUUCACACAGAGUAGAAAGAACUAGUGAACUAGAAGAUCAUAUCAAGUUAUUCAGAAUGCAACAGUGAGAGGGGUGGUGAUUGACAAUAUAGGAAAGAAAAUACAAGGCAUGACGAUUAUAGAAGAAGGAUCCAGUGUAUGUUUGAAAUGAGGUCUGGAAGUGAAAAUAAAGAAUACAGGGAUAAGACAAGUUUGAAGAGAUGACAACUGUGGACUUGCAAGUAUUAAUGAAUGAUGUCAAGCUGGAAUUAAUACUUCAAUGAUUCCUUUUGAGAACACUUUCAUCCAAUCUUCAUCCCAUUUUUCAGAAAUUUUUGCUCUCACAAUACUCUGUGGUUAACACAGUGCUUAUUAUAC